RNAcentral lists this long non-coding RNA (1077 nucleotides) under Dicentrarchus labrax (European seabass). Its description in RNAcentral is "lncRNA (ENSDLAG00005027541.1)". Lineage: Eukaryota; Metazoa; Chordata; Actinopteri; Moronidae. The record is from RNAcentral.
AUGUUAAAGAUGAUUACAUGGAAGCUACACCCAUCAGUGCACCGCCUGGCCCCGAGAACCGGGAUGACGUCGAGCUGGCUGACUAGCAACAAGAUGUCUGAGCAAGGUGCUGCAGUUGCUGUUUCAACCAUGGAGGCUUCUAAACCGGUCUCCAACUUCCCCAAGGGAGCACCGAAAAGUUCAGAAGAGAAUUUCUGCUAUAGGUGUGGUGAGAGCGGACAUUUUGCCACAAAGUGCCGCAACCCUGAGAAUCAAGCCAAGGUUAUCAGAAAGCUAAUUCAUGCUUUAAAGGUGACAAAAGACAAACAGCAGUCUGGUGAUGCCACCACCAGUGAAGUUAACUGUGGGGUUACGAAAAGUGCUGUUACCUCAUCAGAGCCGGCUGGCAUCCCUGAAGGCUUGAUUGGUCCACCCAGUAUAGUACCAGUGAAAGUAAAUGGACAUUGCUGUGAUGCCUUGUUUGAUAGUGGCUCUCAGGUCACCAUUAUCUUUGACUCUUGGUAUCAAACUUACCUGCCUGAUGUCCCAAUACACCCCGUGUCUGGUUUAGCCCUGUUGGGGCUAAGUGAAUCUGAUAUCAGCUAUCCCUACUGUGGGUAUGUGGUGGUCGAUAUGGAAUAUCCAGCGAAGGUUGCAGGUGCCGACCAGACAGUGGCAAUCCUCGCUCUCAUCUGCCCCCAGCCCCGAACUGCAGACCAGACUCCUGUCAUUGUGGGGACCAAUGCCAGUCACAUCCGACGUCUUGUGCAGCAAUGUAGAGACAAUGUCAUUGACGUCACCCAGACACUGGGGAUGCUAGCAUGUUGCAGAGAUAACAAUGUAACAUCACCUAACACAGCCACAGCCCUGGAAGAGGAGGAUGAUAUUGGCUGUGUGUUAUGGCAAGGCCCUGGCCCACUGACUCUGCCCCCGGGUGGUGACUGUAGUGCAGUCUGCAAAGUCGAGUACAAGCACCAGGUCGACAAAGAAAUCCUGAUGGUUGACUCGUCGCCUGUAGCUCCACUCCCAGCUGGUGUGCUACUUCAGCCCAUGGUGGUGCCCAGCGAAGAAGUGAAGACACAGUUGAAGUUAGUAUGA